This 252-nucleotide ribosomal RNA is filed under the name uncultured bacterium. Its description in RNAcentral is "partial 16S ribosomal RNA". It matches the Rfam family "Bacterial small subunit ribosomal RNA", at positions 525 to 776 of the family's 1533-position model. The record is from RNAcentral.
ACGGAGGGUGCAAGCGUUGUUCGGAAUUACUGGGCGUAAAGGGCGCGUAGGCGGCCUGAUAAGUCAGAUGUGAAAGUCCACGGCUCAACCGUGGAAGUGCAUUUGAAACUGUCAGGCUUGAGUAUCGGAGGGGAGUGUGGAAUUCCCGGUGUAGAGGUGAAAUUCGUAGAGAUCGGGAGGAACACCGGUGGCGAAGGCGACACUCUGGACGAAUACUGACGCUGAGGCGCGAAAGCGUGGGGAGCAAACAGG